Molecule: long non-coding RNA, 1512 nt
Filed under: Numida meleagris (helmeted guineafowl)
Lineage: Eukaryota; Metazoa; Chordata; Aves; Galliformes; Numididae
Description: lncRNA (ENSNMEG00000020796.1)
Source: RNAcentral
CACUCCUGACCUCCUGUUGUGUAUGUAGGCAUAUACAUAUGUAAUUUAAUAAAUGCCACAAAAGAGAUCCUAUACAGGGAGUGCAUAAUGCAGAUUCUUUCUUUCAUCAUUUGUGAAACGAAUUAGCUAAUAUAUGUUGACUGCAAUAGCCUUAGUAUUGCUGAAAUAAUAGCUCACAAGAGCACUGAAAAUGAUGUUAAUUCUGAAAAGAAGAUCUCUUUUUCUGUUAUUUUCAAAUACAACACUGUGCUUUGAAUUUUUAGCACCUUGCAAUAUGUGCUUUAUCUCCUCAGGCUGUGAGUCAUGCUACUGACUUGCUGUAUUUGAAGAGAUGAUAUUCCGGAAAUCUAACUUGGAACGCAGAAUAUCCCACAUCAGAAGGGAUUCACUCAGCUCUCGGCAUGUGUGGACUCCUCAGUUUAACCAGGAGCUUGUGGAACUGCUGUCUUGUAGUUCUUGUUCUGACAAGUGGAGAUAAGUUCUGAUCCUUGUGAUGAGUCCAGCUGUGGCAGGUGUGUGCAAUGGAAGCUUUGGGUGGAGAUUACACUGUUCAGUUCUAUGCUGAAGUAAAAGCUGCGCUGACCCCACAGCCAGGUGUGUCUGAACGAACACAAGCUUAAAGCUUUAGCAUGCAAAUCUGAACCCAAAGGAGACCAGAUACCCUCAACUUUCAUGCAUUCCAGUUGGGCUUUAUGUAAUUAACUGUUCCAGAAAGGAGUGGAAAAAUACAAUUGUUUGCUGAAGUAGUUCAACACGUCUUAGAGCACAUUGAUUUCUACCCAAGCUUAAGAGAAAUGUCUGCAUCUUCAGUAAAGAGUCACUCCAGCAAAUAACUUUAACACUCUAAGUCAGGGACGGGUGAGGCUACGACACGCAUUGUGCUCUCGAGGAAGGAAGUUAAUUUCCAGCCCCUGGGGCCCAUUAGAAUUCAAAAUUCCAGAUGGCUCUUACUUAUCACAGUUGGCUUCUUUGCUUUGCUCCAAGGCUAUUUUAAGUCGUUCCAUCUUCGAGGAAAAAUUUCAGAGAUUAGACCCAAAGAACUUUUGUUAGAAUAAUUCUACCUGUUGCAUGGGUGGGUGGAUUCUCCAGGACUAUGUAGUCUUGUAACUCAUUACACGGACUUAUAAUACAAGGAGAUAUCAUAUACGCAGUGUAUGUAUUAUCUAAGCUAUAUGAUGAUGAUUGGGCAAAAUGCUAGAAUAGCUAAAAGGCCAUUUUAGUUUAAUUACAUUUAAUCUUACUGGCUAACAUUUUAAUGAAGUAAAUUUAGAAACUUCUGCUUUUGAAAACUCCUUUUAUAGACUUUGUCAAGACUAGAACUUCAAAGUCUUGGACAGAAUAGUUUAGAUGCUUAAAUAAGAGACCAUUGUAAGCUAUCAAAAGCUAUGCUUUCUUCCUGAACUUUGGCUCUAACUCAACAGGCUCAGCAGGCUUUAGGACGUGAUCUUCCUUGCCCUGACUACCUCAUACUACAUUACACUGUAUUAAAUCCCAUCCCAGAACUUGAAAGUG